RNAcentral lists this unclassified non-coding RNA (443 nucleotides) under Hevea brasiliensis (rubber tree). Lineage: Eukaryota; Viridiplantae; Streptophyta; Magnoliopsida; Malpighiales; Euphorbiaceae. The record is from RNAcentral.
UAGGAGCACAUUGUGAUUGUUGAAUCAUCUGCAUGUAAUGAAAAUCCAUGAAGAAACCAAAAGCUAUCUAAUUGCAAUAGAACAGUUAUUUAUUAGUGGCUAUGAUGUACUCAAUUGAAGGGAAAAUAUAUAAGUUGUUUCCAUUUACUCUUUAUUUGUCAUGAAAAGAACUGAUUCCCUACCAAAAAAUAAUACUAUUCACAUUUUCAAUACAAAAACGCAGAGCAAGAAAAUUAUAGUUGUUUACCUGUAUAUUUUGCUUCAAAACCAUGCAUUUGUGGGAAAAUUAGUUUCAUUUCACUUACCACUCCCAUGAACGUUUUGUUACAAAGCUUUCUUGACAACCAAGUAGAGCCUUGUAUAAAUUGAAUCCAAACUAUAAGAAGUGGAGUCUCAAAUCAAGGCUGGGUACUUGUGGAUUUUUUUUUUUUUUUAGCAACCUA